GACGAACGCUGGCGGCGUGCUUAACACAUGCAAGUCGAACGGAAAGGCCCUGCUUUUGUGGGGUGCUCGAGUGGCGAACGGGUGAGUAACACGUGAGUAACCUGCCCUUGACUUUGGGAUAACUUCAGGAAACUGGGGCUAAUACCGGAUAGGAGCUCCUGCUGCAUGGUGGGGGUUGGAAAGUUUCGGCGGUUGGGGAUGGACUCGCGGCUUAUCAGCUUGUUGGUGGGGUAGUGGCUUACCAAGGCUUUGACGGGUAACCGGCCUGAGAGGGUGACCGGCCACAUUGGGACUGAGAUACGGCCCAGACUCCUACGGGAGGCAGCAGUGGGGAAUAUUGCACAAUGGGCGGAAGCCUGAUGCAGCAACGCCGCGUGCGGGAUGACGGCCUUCGGGUUGUAAACCGCUUUCGCCUGUGACGAAGCGUGAGUGGCGGUAAUGGGUAAAGAAGCACCGGCUAACUACGUG
RNAcentral lists this ribosomal RNA (468 nucleotides) under uncultured bacterium. Its description in RNAcentral is "partial 16S ribosomal RNA". It matches the Rfam family "Bacterial small subunit ribosomal RNA", at positions 28 to 507 of the family's 1533-position model. The record is from RNAcentral.